UUAAGUUCAGCGGGUAGUCCUACCUGAUUUGAGAUCAAACGUUCAAAAAGCUGUCCUCGCUUAGGAGAGACAUUUGUGAGCUCCAGCGAACCCCCAUCACUGGAGGUUGCCCGGCGGAAAACCACAAGCGUAGAUAGUUAUCACACCCGUGACGCCGCCAGACACUGGCAAGCUGAUCCUUUUGAGAGGAGCCGACGGUA
RNAcentral lists this unclassified non-coding RNA (200 nucleotides) under Thelephoraceae sp. RNAcentral's name for it is "partial internal transcribed spacer 2". The record is from RNAcentral. Lineage: Eukaryota; Fungi; Basidiomycota; Agaricomycetes; Thelephorales; Thelephoraceae.